RNAcentral lists this ribosomal RNA (410 nucleotides) under uncultured bacterium. RNAcentral describes it as "bacterial SSU rRNA". It matches the Rfam family "Bacterial small subunit ribosomal RNA", at positions 356 to 773 of the family's 1533-position model. The record is from RNAcentral.
AGGGAAUAUUGCGCAAUGGAGGGAACUCUGACGCAGCGACGCCGCGUGAGCGAUGAAGGUCUUCGGAUCGUAAAGCUCUGUCCUUGGGGAAGAAGGUCUUCGGACUUGACGGUACCUAAGGAGGAAGCCCCGGCUAACUACGUGCCAGCAGCCGCGGUAAUACGUAGGGGGCAAGCGUUGUCCGGAAUUAUUGGGCGUAAAGGGUGCGUAGGCGGCCUUUUAAGUCAGAUGUGAAAGCCCACGGCUUAACUGUGGGACUGCAUUUGAAACUGGAGGGCGUGAGUAUCGGAGAGGGUAGUGGAAUUCCCAGUGUAGCGGUGGAAUGCGUAGAUAUUGGGAGGAACACCAGUGGCGAAGGCGACUACCUGGACGAAAACUGACGCUGAGGCACGAAAGCUAGGGGAGCAAAC